UGGGGAAUAUUGGACAAUGGGCGAAAGCCUGAUCCAGCCAUGCCGCGUGUGUGAAGAAGGUCUUCGGAUUGUAAAGCACUUUAAGUUGGGAGGAAGGGCAGUAAGCGAAUACCUUGCUGUUUUGACGUUACCGACAGAAUAAGCACCGGCUAACUCUGUGCCAGCAGCCGCGGUAAUACAGAGGGUGCAAGCGUUAAUCGGCAUUACUGGGCGUAAAGCGCGCGUAGGUGGUUCGUUAAGUUGAAUGUGAAAGCCCCGGGCUCAACCUGGGAACUGCAUCCAAAACUGGCGGGCUGGAGUAGGGCAGAGGGUGGUGGAAUUUCCUGUGUAGCGGUGAAAUGCGUAGAUAUAGGAAGGAACACAAGUGGCGUAGGCGACCACCUGGGCUCAUACUGACACUGAGGUGCGAAAGCGUGGGGAGCAAACAGG
Molecule: ribosomal RNA, 429 nt
Filed under: Pseudomonadota bacterium
Lineage: Bacteria; Pseudomonadati; Pseudomonadota
Description: Proteobacteria bacterium partial 16S ribosomal RNA
Rfam family: Bacterial small subunit ribosomal RNA
Source: RNAcentral